This is a long non-coding RNA of Stegodyphus dumicola, 1638 nucleotides long. NCBI's taxonomy places the organism in Eukaryota, Metazoa, Arthropoda, Arachnida, Araneae, Eresidae. The record is from RefSeq and is a predicted model, not a curated record.
UCUUCACUGAGAGCCACAGCUGGUACUCCUAGAGGAAGCAUCACUCCUCUGGACUCUCCUCUCCUUCCUUACACUCUUUGCCUUCAGUUCUGUUCUCCUUACAUACUCUUCCUAUUAAGUCUCCUUUUAUUCCCAUUUAUCCCCAUACAUGAAUUGCUUUUUCUUUGGUUGAUUUAUAUCGGCUCUUUUCUCAAAAUGGAAGCUUCUUUUCUUUACUCUUCGAUCUUCUUGUUCUUUAUUUCUCGAGUUUAAAUUUCUCACAUACUUUCUGCUGUUUCAUCGUUCUCGCACUUCGUGCAUUUUCAAAGACAGGUUUCUACAAAGUAAAAAAUUCCCUUAUCCCUUGCCUCUUUAUAGAAAUUUAAAUUUAAGUCUAUGUACUUCCCAUCUACAGACAUGUAUUUGUUUCCCAAACAGAUACAUGAAAACUUAAAAUUCAACGGGGCGAAAUACGUUCAUAAAUUCAUUCAACUUUACUUUCUGGUCAUUAACUUUUUAUCAUCAGAGUUAAUGCUUUUUUCACCUAUUUCGUUUUCAUACGAUCAGUGUAAUUUUGAGUUUUGCUACAUGGUAUUACAGAAAAAUAAGUUGAUCUGUUUCCUACAGAUUCUACACCUAAAGCUCUGCUCUAAAUUUCUGAAAACUAACUUAAGGCCUCAAAAUGAAUCUAUAUUUUACGUUGAUUAUCUGCCGUUUUUCUGACUCAAAAAGUCUGUAGACGUUAUUUCUUUCUUUUAAUUUUACUUUUGUGGUUUGAGAUGCUACCUGUGGUUAACAAUCACUUGCUUACUAGAGGUAAUCUUUUGAAUAUUGUAAAUUUCCUUUUAAUCUUGCAGGACUUUGAUUCUUCACAAAUUUCUGAAGAAUUUUCAGCUUUUAAAGUAUCUAAAUUUUUCUCUUCGUUUUGAAGUUUAAUUUUCUUUCUUUUUUCUCUCCAAAAUCCUCUGAUUUUGCUUCUUAACUUUUAAAUGUCUCAUCCCAUAUAAUUAGGGCUUAUAUUUCAUGAACAUAGUUCAUUUUAUCAUUCUUCACAUCCGUGCUUCAUCAGCAACUGCCGGCUCUUCCUGAAAGAAGGCUGUCUUCAUCAAGAUGGAUCCAUCAGCUUUCUUAUUUUGAGUCUGAACAAGUUUAGAAGAUCAGUGGAGAGCUCUUUGAAGGGGUAAUCCCAAGUUAACCUAGGUACAUCACGCAAACAAACUUCUCCAUCUGUCCUCAAAGGAAGGUCCUGAAUUGUUAUGCAGUGUAAGAGAAACCUCGAUGUCUCUGAAGUGAUUGAUGGACUUUUGCUCACGGGAUCGUGAUACGGAUGAUUGCCUAACCUUUUCGAACGCAAUGGUCACCUUCAGGAAUUGACCAAAUGCAUAGCUCCCCCACAUGCUGAAGAGAGCACCUAAGGAAGAAGACUGACAACACUACAUUUUUGACUGAUAUUUGAGAAUACACCCUUCGAAAUAUUUUUAGAAUGACAAAUAACUCAAUAUGAGACAUGGCAUAACAUCAGUACUUUAGCAAGCAUGUAAAUUCGAAUAUUAGAUGCAAUUUAUUUCACAAUUGUACAGCUUUUCAUCAUUGAGUGCCUUCAUUUCUGAUGCCUCGAAAAUCUCAAAACGAUGAAAAAUAAAAUAUUUUUAAUUAACA